RNAcentral lists this ribosomal RNA (366 nucleotides) under uncultured eukaryote. RNAcentral describes it as "partial 18S ribosomal RNA". It matches the Rfam family "Eukaryotic small subunit ribosomal RNA", at positions 592 to 976 of the family's 1831-position model. The record is from RNAcentral.
CAAUAGCGUAUAUUAAAGUUGUUGCAGUUAAAAAGCUCGUAGUUGAAUUUCUGGUGGGCGCGCCGGUCUUCCAAGUGUUGUACUGGGCGCAGUCCGCCAUCCUUGUGGAGAGGGCUCGCAUUGAGUUGUGUGUCGGAUCUGCAUCAUUUACUGUGAAAAAAUUAGAGUGUUUAAAGCAGGCUGUCGCUUGAAUACAUUAGCAUGGAAUAAUAAGAUAGGACUUCGGUCUAUUUUGUUGGUUGCGAACCGAGGUAAUGAUUAAUAGGGAUAGUUGGGGGUAUUCAUAUUUAAUUGUCAGAGGUGAAAUUCUUGGAUUUAUGAAAGAUGAACAACUGCGAAAGCAUUUACCAAGGAUGUUUUCAUUAA